RNAcentral lists this ribosomal RNA (421 nucleotides) under alpha proteobacterium SCGC AAA027-P21. RNAcentral's name for it is "bacterial SSU rRNA". It matches the Rfam family "Bacterial small subunit ribosomal RNA", at positions 350 to 787 of the family's 1533-position model. The record is from RNAcentral. Lineage: Bacteria; Pseudomonadati; Pseudomonadota; Alphaproteobacteria.
ACCAGUGGGGAAUCUUGCACAAUGGAGGAAACUCUGAUGCAGCGAUGCCGCGUGAGUGAAGAAGGCCUUUGGGUUGUAAAGCUCUUUUGUAGGGGAAGAUAAUGACUGUACCCUAAGAAUAAGGUCCGGCUAACUUCGUGCCAGCAGCCGCGGUAAUACGAAGGGACCUAGCGUAGUUCGGAAUUACUGGGCGUAAAGCGCGCGUAGGCCGUUGAGUUAGUUAAUUGUGAAAUCCCAAAGCUUAACUUUGGAACUGCAAUUAAAACUGGCUCGACUAGAGUUUGAUAGAGGAAAGCGGAAUACAUAGUGUAGAGGUGAAAUUCGUAGAUAUUAUGUAGAACACCAGUUGCGAAGGCGGCUUUCUGGAUCAACACUGACGCUGAGGCGCGAAAGUAUGGGUAGCAAAGAGGAUUAGAUACCC